Molecule: non-coding RNA, 20 nt
Filed under: Rattus norvegicus (Norway rat)
Lineage: Eukaryota; Metazoa; Chordata; Mammalia; Rodentia; Muridae
Source: RNAcentral
GUACACACGGUCUUCUGCUC